Molecule: non-coding RNA, 24 nt
Filed under: Arabidopsis thaliana (thale cress)
Lineage: Eukaryota; Viridiplantae; Streptophyta; Magnoliopsida; Brassicales; Brassicaceae
Source: RNAcentral
UUCUCGCUGUGAAGAGUGUUUGUG